UGGGGAAUCUUGCACAAUGGGGGAAACCCUGAUGCAGCGACGCCGCGUGAGUGAUGAAGCCCUUCGGGGUGUAAAGCUCUUUCGACAGGGACGAUAAUGACGGUACCUGGAGAAGCAGCUGCGGCUAACUACGUGCCAGCAGCCGCGGUAAUACGUAGGCAGCAAGCGUUGUUCGGAGUUACUGGGCGUAAAGGGUGCGUAGGCGGCCCUAUAAGUAUGGUGUGAAAUCUCCCGGCUUAACUGGGAGGGUGCGCCGUAGACUGUGGGGCUAGAGUGUGGGAGAGGAAAGUGGAAUUCCUGGUGUAGCGGUGAAAUGCGUAGAUAUCAGGAGGAACACCGGUGGUGUAAACGGCUUUCUGGACCAUAACUGACGCUGAGGCACGAAAGCGUGGGUAGCAAACAG
Molecule: ribosomal RNA, 403 nt
Filed under: uncultured bacterium
Lineage: Bacteria
Description: bacterial SSU rRNA
Rfam family: Bacterial small subunit ribosomal RNA
Source: RNAcentral